Molecule: small nuclear RNA, 18 nt
Filed under: Arabidopsis thaliana (thale cress)
Lineage: Eukaryota; Viridiplantae; Streptophyta; Magnoliopsida; Brassicales; Brassicaceae
Description: snRNA_15422
Source: RNAcentral
AUCAAUAAGCGGAGGAAA